AAAAGCCACAGGGAUAUUCAUAAUCUUUCCCAUUGCACGAACCUCAUCCUUGAACAGAAGUUUCAGUGGCUCGAUGAGCUUCAGCUUCAUGUCCUUUGGGAGCCCUCCAACAUUAUGAUGGCUCUUGAUCGUAUGUGAAUGUGUUCUUCCACUUCCAGGUGGGGGACACGACUCUAUUACAUCAGGAUACAAUGUUCCUUGGACUAGGUAAGCAGGUUUCUUUCCCACUUUUUUCUCUAAAUCAUGGGCGAAAAUAUCAAAUAUGUUGAUGAACUCCUUCCCAAUAAUUUUCCUUUUCAUUUCAGGCUCUGUCACACCUUUUAGUUUGCUGAGAAAUUCUUCUGUAGCAUCAACGCAGGUAACGGGCAAAUGAAGGUCACUCUCAAAGGUUGCCAUCACUCUUUCUCUCUCCUUGUACCUUAAAAGACCAUUAUCAACAAAAACACAGUGAAGCCUGUCUCCAAUAGCCUUGUGUACCACGGUAGCUGCAACUGUGGAA
This 499-nucleotide unclassified non-coding RNA is filed under the name Hevea brasiliensis (rubber tree). The record is from RNAcentral. Lineage: Eukaryota; Viridiplantae; Streptophyta; Magnoliopsida; Malpighiales; Euphorbiaceae.